GCGCCGGGCGCAGCGUGCUCCAGGCCCCCACCUAGGGCGCGGUUCUCGGGAUUCGCGCGGCAUGGUUGGCCUAGGGGUUGGGAGAGAGUGCAGCAAACAAGAUUUUUCCCGGGAUGGGAAGCCCCGCUUCCCGCCAAAGCGGGCCGGGUAAACAGGCCGCGCGAAGGUUCCAGGGAACUGGAAGCCCAGAGACAAGCUGGCAGCCGCCUGCCCUGGCCAAAUAGGAGCCCUGUGACCAGUAAAGGCCAUGCUGAAGAUGCCAAAUGGAGAUGAGAGGCCCUGGAGGAUAAGAAGUCAUGUGGAGGAGAACUGAGACACACCAGCCAACAGCCAGCACCAAGUGCCAGCCAUGCUGGCGGAGAUUUAAGGAAAGUCUCUGGGGAGGCCCCUGCAAAGUCAGUGUUCUAACAUAUGAAUGGUGUUGAUGGAAAAAGCUGAAGUGCUUUUUUGAGCAAGAAUCAGACUAUCGCCACGUGGCUUUCGGACUGUGGCUAAAUUCCUCAUCAGAAAGAAAUGGAGAUGAUCAUACCCGUCCUUACCUCACAGUUAUUAUGAAGAUCAAAUAAGAGAACAAAUACAAAACUGCUUUGAAAACUGUC
Ailuropoda melanoleuca (giant panda) is the source of this 599-nucleotide long non-coding RNA. RefSeq lists it as uncharacterized. The record is from RefSeq and is a predicted model, not a curated record. NCBI's taxonomy places the organism in Eukaryota, Metazoa, Chordata, Mammalia, Carnivora, Ursidae. The transcript has 4 exons.